This 492-nucleotide ribosomal RNA is filed under the name Scraptiidae sp. UPOL ZL0188. Its description in RNAcentral is "partial 16S ribosomal RNA". The stretch from base 366 to 492 matches the Rfam family "Bacterial large subunit ribosomal RNA", at positions 2473 to 2600 of the family's 2925-position model. The record is from RNAcentral. Lineage: Eukaryota; Metazoa; Arthropoda; Insecta; Coleoptera; Scraptiidae.
UAUAAAGUCGGGCCUGCCCUAUGAUUUUUAAAUGGCUGCAGUAUAUUGACUGUACAAAGGUAGCAUAAUCAUUAGUUUUUUAAUUGAGAACUUGUAUGAAGGGUUUGAUGAGAAAAUUUCUGUCUCAAUUUUAUUUUAUUAGAAAUUAAUUUUUAAUUUAAAAAGAUUAAAUGUUUUAAAAAGACGAGAAGACCCUAUAGAGUUUUAUUAUUUAUUUUGAUAAAAAUUUUUAGUUUUGUUUAUUUUAUUUAAAUGUUUAAUUUUAUUGGGGUGAUAGAAAAAUUUAAUAAACUUUUUAUUAUAUAAACAUUAAUUUAUGAUAAAUUUGAUCAAAGUUAAAGAUUAAAAGAAAAAAUUACCUUAGGGAUAACAGCGUAAUUUAUUUUUAAAGUUCUGAUUGAAAAAUAAGAUUGCGACCUCGAUGUUGGAUUAAAAAAAAUUUUUGGUGUAGAAGCUGAAAAAUUAAGUCUGUUCGACUUUUAAAAUUUUACA